UACGUAGGGUGCAAGCGUUGUCCGGAAUUACUGGGCGUAAAGGGCUCGUAGGCGGCCAACUAAGUCCGACGUGAAAUCCCCAGGCUCAACCUGGGAACUGCGUCGGAUACUGGAUGGCUUGAAUCCGGGAGAGGGAUGCAGAAUUCCAGGUGUAGCGGUGAAAUGCGUAGAUAUCUGGAGGAAUACCGGUGGCGAAGGCGGCAUCCUGGACCGGCAUUGACGCUGAUGAGCGAAAGCCAGGGGAGCAAACCG
RNAcentral lists this ribosomal RNA (252 nucleotides) under uncultured prokaryote. RNAcentral's name for it is "partial 16S ribosomal RNA". It matches the Rfam family "Bacterial small subunit ribosomal RNA", at positions 524 to 775 of the family's 1533-position model. The record is from RNAcentral.